CUGACAGUUUGAUGCUGAUUGCCAUCCCAUUUCACCUCUUGUUGAAAGAAGCACUUAUUUUGACAUUCGGCGGUGCAUUUUUAUAAUCGAGGAAGAGAGAAUAUUCGUUGGUUGCGAGAUACAGAAGAAUAAGAAGAACAUACAGAAGAAGAAGAGAGAAUAUUUCCACAGCUCCAUGAGCUCUUUUCACGCUUGGCGAAAGCAUGAUAUAGUGAAAUGUAUCAAGGGAUGACACAGAGACCUCUGGUUCUGAGCAAGACAGUGAGCCAGAGCUGCCAGGAGAUGUCAUCGAGCCCCCCCAACUGCAUCAAGCACCAGAUAUGCUGUUCCAAAAGGACCCAAUGACAUUUCAAGAUCCAGAGAAGAAGGUCCUGUACAGCUGUGUUUGAAAAUAUUUCCCAGUACUCAGCUUGGUACUAGGAAAAGGGCUUUCAACAGCUCCUGGUAUAAGGACAAUUCAUGACUUGAAUAUUCUGUAAAUCAAGAUUUGACUUAUUGUUUGCCUGUAGGCAUUUUUCUCUGCCCAAUACACCUGAAUCUGCCUUCACAUCACAGUCAGGUUUUUGUAACUGGAAAAAAGGCGCUGUUUAAAGAUUCUGGGUUUAAGCUCUAUUCCAAGGCAGAGCAUCAUAUCAAUGCUAUGUAUGCUUGGAAUCAGCAUAAAAGGGCUAUUGACAGCAACUCAUCAAUGUUAGAUGUCAUAAAUGAGGACCGGAAAAGAAAGUGGAGGAAAACUGUACUUACAUUAAAACAAUUGCAGAUGUGCUCCUAUUAACUGCCACUGAAAAUAUAGCACAGAGGUCAUCGAGAGUCUGAUGACUCUCACAACAAGGGUCAUUUUUGGACAAUCUUAGAAGAAAUAGCAAAGCAUGACACUCUCAUAGAGAAAAGGAUGAAUGCAUGUGGAAAUGCUAAGUACACAAGCCACCAAAUCCAGAACGAAGUUCUUGAGGGCUUAGCUGAGAUGGUACAAAGUGAAAUAAUAAGAGAAGUAAAAGAAAGUGAAGUUUUUCAUGUAAUUGCAGAUGAAACCAAAGAUUUAAAGAAAAAAUAACAAAAGUCUUUAGUUGUGAGGUACUAUGACAACGGGGCCAUCCACAAAAGCUUUUUACACUUUCAGUCAGCUAAAAGCUUAGAUGCAGCAGGUCUCACAAAAAUUAUAAUUGAUUGCCUUGAAAAACAUGUUCUGGACUACAGAAAUAAUCUUGUGGGGCAAGGCUAUGACGGUGCAUCCGUCAUGAGCGGAAAGCAUUCUGGUGUGUCUGCAUGGAUUAAAAACAGUGCAAGAUUUGCAUUUUAUGUGCACUGUAAUGCACAUUGUUUGAAUUUGGUUCUUGUCGAUGCUGUAAAAUCAGUGCCUGAGGCAGUUCUGAGAGUGCUACAGGAUAUCACACUUGAAAAUAGUGGUGAUAGAUCAGUUAUAUUUACAUUUCAUAGGGCUUUUGGUUACCUUUUGUAAAGUGCUUGGUGAUACCAAAUGUCUUUCGGACAUGCUCCAGUCAAGCUCUCUUGACCUAGCAAGGGCUGUGGAUCUAGUAGGUGCCCUUACAGACACAUUACAGGACUUCAGAAGUGAGGGUUACUUUGGAGAACUAUGGACAGAGGUUGAAGAGAUUUCAGAGCACUGCAAAAUAAGUGUACAAACAGUGUGUAAAAGACAGCCUAAAACAAGCUUAAGAUUUCACGACUCAUUGAUGAUGAGCACUGUAGGACAGAAAAUUUGUGAUCAAAGUGAUGGUGAGAGCUUCCAAAGAGAUAUCUUUUAUCAGGUGCUUGACAGUCUCACAGCUGAGCUGCAGAGGCGUUUUUCAAAGAAGAAUUGUGUGAUAAUGCAAGGGGUCCAGUCUCUCAACCCAAAGAGUACAACAUUCUUGAAUGAGGAGCCUCUAUUUGCCUUUGCUCAGACCUUUGAGUCAGAUUUAGAGGACCUCAAACAUGAGGUUCACCAAACCAAGUGGCUUCUUGAUAGGCAUCUUGAUAGGAGAGAGAAAAGUGGAAGGGACAGACCGUCUACUCUACUUGAAAGAGGUCUUUCAUGAGCUAUUUCGACUUAAGAUUUCUGUUGUUACACCAGUCAGUAGUGCUUCUUGCGAGAGAAGCUUCUCAGCUUUAAAACUGAUUAAAACCCACCUCAGGACAACAAUGGUUGAUGACAGGUUAAAUCACCUCGGAAUUCUCAGUGUUGAGUCAAGGAGGGUACGCUCCCUCAACAUGGAUGAGUUUGUGAAACAUUUUGCCAGUUCUCAACAGAACCGCAGAAUUAUGCUGUUUUAAAUAUACCUAGGAAAAUUUGGUACUUAGGCAGUCCCUCUGGUCAGGAUUAAAACCUGCACUGUGUAUUAGCUAGUAUACUGACAUUCUAAAAUGGUCAAUCCAAGGCGUAUCAUGUCACACAGAUUUAAUUUGGUCUUGAUUAGGCCAAUUCCAAAACUUUUCUUUGUUAUUAGUUAACAUAGUAUAUAUGUGCAUAAAUAUGAUACUGUACAUUUGUAAUAUUGAUGGGCAACAAAAUUAUUUUAAUUUUUCAAGUCCAUUUCUUGAUACCUGGUAUGUCAAAUUGCAGUGUGUUUUUUUGUAAAUUUACAUUUUUGUAAAUAAACUAUGCAAUUUAUGUAACACACAAAUGCUGUCUUAU
Molecule: long non-coding RNA, 2635 nt
Organism: Salmo salar (Atlantic salmon)
Lineage: Eukaryota; Metazoa; Chordata; Actinopteri; Salmoniformes; Salmonidae
Source: RefSeq, a predicted model, not a curated record